GACAGAGGUGCCGAGCGUUAGGCGGAAUCACUGGGCUUAAAGCGUGUGUAGGCGGAUGGGUAAGUACCUUGUGAAAUCCCACGGCUCAACCGUGGAACUGCUCGGUAUACUGCUCGUCUUGAGCCAACUAGGGGCGACCGGAACAAACGGUGGAGCGGUGAAAUGCGUAGAUAUCGUUUGGAACGCCGAUGGUGAAAACAGGUCGCUGGGGUUGUGCUGACGCUGAGGCGCGAAAGCCAGGGGAGCGAACGGG
This 253-nucleotide ribosomal RNA is filed under the name uncultured bacterium. RNAcentral's name for it is "partial 16S ribosomal RNA". It matches the Rfam family "Bacterial small subunit ribosomal RNA", at positions 524 to 776 of the family's 1533-position model. The record is from RNAcentral.